Long non-coding RNA from Astatotilapia calliptera (eastern happy), 580 nucleotides. The record is from Ensembl. Lineage: Eukaryota; Metazoa; Chordata; Actinopteri; Cichliformes; Cichlidae.
CUUUGCCGCGAGAUAUGACAGCGAUAUAAACCCCUCAGACUUCAUUCAAAAAUGUGGGUGUUUGAUGGAGAGUUGCGGUUAGAGAGAGUUUGGAGACCGUUUGGAGGUUUAUGAGAGUGAGGAGAGAAAGUCAGGAGAGAAUGGAGCCAGCUAAGAAGAGGAGGAUGUCCUCCCCUGUGUGGGAACAUUUUGAUCUUAUUCCUCCCAACAAGGUGAAGUGUUUGCUAUGUGCCAGGGAGCUGGGAUAUAACAACAACACCUCAUCCAUGCUUAGGCACUACAGAGCUUUGCAUGAGAAUAAGGGGGACACCGAUUGUGGAGCAAGACCAGGAGAACAAUCUCAAAUAGAUGAAGACCUGGUUAGCAUGGUGACUGAGGACUCCCAGCCAUUUAGCAUUGUGGAGGACAAAGGAUUCAAAAGAUUUGUUAAAUCAUUAAAUCCUAGCUAUGUUCUCCCCACUAAAAAGGUCAUAAAAGCAGUGAAAAUUUAGUUUUUACAGAAUAAAAUGUGAACAGGCAGGAGUGUGUAGCUGUCCAUACCUCAACGUUACAAAAGCACAACUACUGUCCACACCCCAAC